GGAGAGUUGUCCGAGUGGCUUAAGGAGCAUGAUUGGAAAUCAUGUGUGCGGCGUAUACCGUACCCAGGGUUCAAAUCCCUGACUCUCCGCCA
Molecule: transfer RNA, 92 nt
Filed under: Veillonella sp.
Lineage: Bacteria; Bacillati; Bacillota; Negativicutes; Veillonellales; Veillonellaceae
Description: tRNA-Ser
Rfam family: tRNA
About the family: Transfer RNA (tRNA) molecules are approximately 80 nucleotides in length.
Source: RNAcentral